Molecule: ribosomal RNA, 416 nt
Filed under: uncultured Megasphaera sp.
Lineage: Bacteria; Bacillati; Bacillota; Negativicutes; Veillonellales; Veillonellaceae
Description: bacterial SSU rRNA
Rfam family: Bacterial small subunit ribosomal RNA
Source: RNAcentral
UGGGGAUACAGCCGGAAACGGCUGCUAAUACCGAAUACGAUCUUUUCGUCGCAUGACGAAAAAAGAAGAAAAGGGAAUGGCCUCUAUACAAAGCUAUCGCCGAAGGAGGGGUUUUGCGUCUGAUUAGCUGGUUGGAGGGGUAACGGCCCAACAAGGCGAUGAUCAGUAGCCGGUCUGAGAGGAUGAACGGCCACAUUGGGACUGAGACACGGCCCAGACUCCUACGGGAGGCAGCAGUGGGGAAUCUUCCGCAAUGGACGAAAGUCUGACGGAGCAACGCCGCGUGAGUGAAGAAGGUCUUCGGAUUGUAAAGCUCUGUUAUACGGGACGAAAAAGACGGAUGCCAACAGUAUCCGUCCGUGACGGUACCGUAAGAGAAAGCCACGGCUAACUACGUGCCAGCAGCCGCGGUAAAU